CAGUAGCCACGGUAAUACGGAGGGGGCUAGCGUUGUUCGGAAUUACUGGGCGUAAAGCGCGCGUAGGCGGCUUGGUAAGUUAGAGGUGAAAGCCUGGGACUCAACCCCAGAAUUGCCUUUAAGACUGCCGAGCUAGUAGGUGAGAGAGGUAAGUGGAAUUCCGAGUGUAGAGGUGAAAUUCGUAGAUAUUCGGAAGAACACCAGUGGCGAAGGCGGCUUACUGGCUCAUUCUAGACGCUGAGGUGCGAAAGCGUGGGGAGCAAACAGGAUUAGAUACCCCGGUAGUCCCUGUCUCUUAUAU
Molecule: ribosomal RNA, 301 nt
Filed under: uncultured bacterium
Lineage: Bacteria
Description: partial 16S ribosomal RNA
Rfam family: Bacterial small subunit ribosomal RNA
Source: RNAcentral